GUGAUUGUAGCUCAGUCGGUAGAGCUCUGGAUUGUGGUUCCAGUAGUCGUGGGUUCGAAUCCCAUCAAUCACC
Molecule: transfer RNA, 73 nt
Filed under: Blochmannia endosymbiont of Camponotus sp.
Lineage: Bacteria; Pseudomonadati; Pseudomonadota; Gammaproteobacteria; Enterobacterales; Enterobacteriaceae
Description: tRNA-His
Rfam family: tRNA
About the family: Transfer RNA (tRNA) molecules are approximately 80 nucleotides in length. Their secondary structure includes four short double-helical elements and three loops (D, anti-codon, and T loops). Further hydrogen bonds mediate the characteristic L-shaped molecular structure. tRNAs have two regions of fundamental functional importance: the anti-codon, which is responsible for specific mRNA codon recognition, and the 3' end, to which the tRNAs corresponding amino acid is attached (by aminoacyl-tRNA synthetases). tRNAs cope with the degeneracy of the genetic code in two manners: having more than one tRNA (with a specific anti-codon) for a particular amino acid; and 'wobble' base-pairing, i.e. permitting non-standard base-pairing at the 3rd anti-codon position.
Source: RNAcentral